UCCUGGCUCAGAUUGAACGCUGGCGGCAUGCCUUACACAUGCAAGUCGAACGGUAACAGGUCUUCGGAUGCUGACGAGUGGCGAACGGGUGAGUAAUACAUCGGAACGUGCCCAGACGUGGGGGAUAACGAGGCGAAAGCUUUGCUAAUACCGCAUACGAUCUAAGGAUGAAAGCAGGGGACCGCAAGGCCUUGCGCGUUUGGAGCGGCCGAUGGCAGAUUAGGUAGUUGGUGGGAUAAAAGCUUACCAAGCCGACGAUCUGUAGCUGGUCUGAGAGGACGACCAGCCACACUGGGACUGAGACACGGCCCAGACUCCUACGGGAGGCAGCAGUGGGGAAUUUUGGACAAUGGGCGAAAGCCUGAUCCAGCAAUGCCGCGUGCAGGAUGAAGGCCUUCGGGUUGUAAACUGCUUUUGUACGGAACGAAAAGGCUCUGGCUAAUACCUGGGGCACAUGACGGUACCGUAAGAAUAAGCACCGGCUAACUACGUGCCAGCAGCCGCGGUAAUACGUAGGGUGCGAGCGUU
This 528-nucleotide ribosomal RNA is filed under the name uncultured Burkholderiales bacterium. RNAcentral's name for it is "bacterial SSU rRNA". It matches the Rfam family "Bacterial small subunit ribosomal RNA", at positions 17 to 542 of the family's 1533-position model. The record is from RNAcentral. Lineage: Bacteria; Pseudomonadati; Pseudomonadota; Betaproteobacteria; Burkholderiales.